Molecule: ribosomal RNA, 480 nt
Filed under: Flavobacteriales bacterium 'ARUP UnID 330'
Lineage: Bacteria; Pseudomonadati; Bacteroidota; Flavobacteriia; Flavobacteriales
Description: bacterial SSU rRNA
Rfam family: Bacterial small subunit ribosomal RNA
Source: RNAcentral
GGAUGAACGCUAGCGGCAGGCCUAACACAUGCAAGUCGAGGGGUAGGGUUACUUCGGUAACCUGAGACCGGCGCACGGGUGCGUAACGCGUAUGCAAUCUACCUUUUACUAUGGGAUAGCCCAGAGAAAUUUGGAUUAAUACCAUAUAGUAUAUUUGAAUGGCAUCGUUUAAAUAUUAAAGAUUUAUCGGUAAAAGAUGAGCAUGCGUCCCAUUAGUUAGUUGGUGUGGUAACGGCACACCAAGACGAUGAUGGGUAGGGGUCCUGAGAGGGAGAUCCCCCACACUGGUACUGAGACACGGACCAGACUCCUACGGGAGGCAGCAGUGAGGAAUAUUGGUCAAUGGAGGCAACUCUGAACCAGCCAUGCCGCGUGCAGGAUGACGGUCCUAUGGAUUGUAAACUGCUUUUGUACGGGAAGAAAACAAGCUACGUGUAGCUAAUUGACGGUACCGUAAGAAUAAGGAUCGGCUAACUCCGU